Molecule: ribosomal RNA, 442 nt
Filed under: uncultured bacterium
Lineage: Bacteria
Description: partial 16S ribosomal RNA
Rfam family: Bacterial small subunit ribosomal RNA
Source: RNAcentral
CCUACGGGAGGCAGCAGUGGGGAAUAUUGGGCAAUGGGCGCAAGCCUGACCCAGCAACGCCGCGUGAAGGAAGAAGGCUUUCGGGUUGUAAACUUCUUUUGACAGGGAAGAGUAGCAGACGGUACGUGGCGAAUAAGACACGGCUAACGACGUGCCAGAAGCCGCGGUACUACGGAGGUGGCAGGCGUUGUCCGGAUUUACUGGGUGUCCAGGGCGUGUAGCCGGGUUGACAAGUCUGUUGUGUAAUCCUGCGGCUUAACCGCAGAACUGCAUUUGAAACUGUUGAUCUUGAGUACUGGAGAGGCAGACGGACUUCCUAGUGUAGCGGUGAAAUGCGUAGAUAUUAGGAGGAACACCAGUGGCGCAGGCGGUCUGCUGGACAGCAACUGACGGUGAGGCGCGAACGCGUGGGGAGCAAACAGGAUUAGAUACCCCUGUAGUC